This is a long non-coding RNA of Conger conger (European conger), 1039 nucleotides long. RefSeq lists it as uncharacterized. The transcript has 3 exons. The record is from RefSeq and is a predicted model, not a curated record. NCBI's taxonomy places the organism in Eukaryota, Metazoa, Chordata, Actinopteri, Anguilliformes, Congridae.
AGAAACACACAUCAGCAUUUUAAUAGACAUUUUAAUGCAAUGGCUUUUAUUUAGCAAAUAUCUGCACAAUUCAAGCAAACGGGAAAAACAAAACUCACGCCACAUAUAAACGCAAGUACUAGCCGAGUCUACAUUAAACCUUGAAGUCUUACUAAUGUUUGGCUAUUUUAAAAGCAAUUGUUAGACAUACUUUAACACAACAGGUGCAAUGCGAGAACGUUUGAUACGUGAAAGCACAAAGUUUACUCGCUGCAGUCAGACAUGUUGAUGCUUUUCUCCGAGAUUAUAGACGCGGCAGAUACUUUACAGUAACCGGCUUCCCGUCCGACGUCCAGCUGACCUCCGCAAACCAAACAGGCAUCUGCGCCAGGCACACCAGCGUGGCGUUGCCUGUUUUCAGCUCCUCGCCGGACGGAGGGCAGGAGAGCGAGUGCAGGCGCAGCAAGAGAAGAAACAUGAACAAAUUCAGAAACACGGCCAUGAUGAGCAGACCUGCGCAAACUCCACACAGAGAGGACCCUGUCCAGGAUUCAAACAGAAGACCUCCCUGUCGUGAGGCAACAGUGCUACCCAGUGCACCACCGUGCGUCUUACAUGUGCUGAUUAAUUCCUUUCAGCUGUCCCUGCAAAUGCAUAUCAUCCCCCAAACAAUGAGUAUAUGCUAAUAAACAGCACAUCAUUUUUAAUUGAUGCCUGCCUAUGGGCUAUGGGUAGGCUACAAAUCAAGUUAAUUUGGGGAUAAGGUGAUGUUUAGUACUUCCUGGUGUCCUCCCAUUAUUGACACUGACAUUGAUAUUGGCUCUGGAGGUACGAGCAGGCGUCUGGCAGUCAGUGGGUUGCAGGUUCGAUCCUGCCCCAGGUGUGUCGAAGUGUCCCUGAGCAAGGCACCUAAUCACCAAUUGCUCCUGACAAGCUGGUUGGUGCUUUGCAUGACAGCCAAUUGUCAUGAGUGUGAGUGUGUGCAUCAGUUGUACAGCACUUUGGAUAAAGGCGCUAUGUAAAUGCAGACCAUUUACCAUAAUAUCAGCAAUAAUUGCAA